UCCCGGUGCAGCCUUGCUCACCUGCGCCGCCCAGUGGUAGGAACAGAGACCUGCGGAAGAAAGUUGGCCCUCAACCACCGACUCCAUGCAACCCUCCAGGCCCUAAGCCUGGCUGGUAACCCAGGACUCUCACUCUCACUGUGGCACCUAGAAGCUCUCUGACUUGCUAACGCUGCCAUAAGGUGAGGAAACCAAGAUGAGGGAGGUGACAUGAGCAGCCUGAUGCCACCAGCAAGCAUCGGUGUGUGCAGAACCGACAACUCCCUGCCCGAGCAGAAGACAGCCUAGGUCUGGCUCCCCCAUCCCCGUGUGACUAUCAAUAAAGAACCAUUCAGUGCAGAUUAGAAAUGAAAGCAGCUUCGACUUCAAAGAACAAACAGCCAAGUCAGAGAAAGGAGGAUUUUCAGGUGCCUGGAGUUUCUUCCAAGAACGGGCUCCCUGAGACAGAGGCCGAGCGAGCAGACAGCCACAGACCUGAGAUCUCAGCUGAAGAACGAGCGUUGCU
This is a long non-coding RNA of Eptesicus fuscus (big brown bat), 505 nucleotides long. RefSeq lists it as uncharacterized. The transcript is spliced from 4 exons. The record is from RefSeq and is a predicted model, not a curated record. NCBI's taxonomy places the organism in Eukaryota, Metazoa, Chordata, Mammalia, Chiroptera, Vespertilionidae.